CGGGUAGAAAAGUGUCAGUGAAAUCAAAUCAAUUUUAAUUAGGCAUUCGACUUAACUUCGGACUCGUCUCGCCUGCGUGUGUGUGUGGGGUCUGUGGCAGUGGCAAGUGGCAGCUGAUUAAACUAGCCGCUGGCUCUGUUUAAAUCUAUUUUAACCACAUGACUGGUUUUGAUGUGAAACAUAUACACUGAAAGAAAGGGGAGUAGGACUUUAAGCGGUUGCCUGGAAGAAGUAAUUCUUUGAAUUUUAAACGAUUGAUUCCUUCAACAAGAUUCCCCAAGGAUUCCUGAUGUUUCCCUCAAAAAAUGUAUACCCUCAAGUCUUUUUGUUUUACAUGCCAAAGCAUAUUUCACAAUGUGAUUCUAGAGCUACAAUGCACCCAUUCAGCCAUCAAAAACAUUAACAAAGUGCUGGAAAAUACCCGAACGUGCAUUGACACCAAUUGCAUGCAAUCGAAUUGAAUCGAAUUGCCUGGAAUCGACUCGAAUUCAAUGCCCUGGAAUUGUGCGAUUGAGCUUCGGGCUAUGCAGAGGCAUUUUAAUUGUUUCGGCCACAGAAAACAUUCAAGUAGAGAGACACUUCGGCACGGGCCGAUGCUUUUGUCGGCCAAUUAGCUUUAAUAAAAAGUAUUUCAAUAAAUUAUACGCACUUGCCAUAAUCGCUGAC
RNAcentral lists this long non-coding RNA (666 nucleotides) under Drosophila guanche. Lineage: Eukaryota; Metazoa; Arthropoda; Insecta; Diptera; Drosophilidae. The record is from RNAcentral.